This 467-nucleotide long non-coding RNA is filed under the name Capsicum annuum. RNAcentral's name for it is "long non-coding RNA (CANN_LNC002089)". Lineage: Eukaryota; Viridiplantae; Streptophyta; Magnoliopsida; Solanales; Solanaceae. The record is from RNAcentral.
UACUUAAAAACAUAGAAAUUAUAGAUAUUAUGAAAAUAAUAUUAGAAAAAGUAAUAGACUACGAAAUUGAAACUAUAAAUUGUCUAGAACAGUUAUACGAAGAAAUUUACCCAGAAGGAUAUUAUUCAGAUUAAAAAAUGUUAGAAUAUAUUAGACAAACUAGAGAAAAUCAAGAAAAUCUAAAUAAUGAAAUUAAUUAUAGAAACCGAAUUAGAAAAAUAAUGGAAGACCUAAAAGAAAAAUUAGUAUGGAUAGAAAAAACCUUAGAAAAUUUAGAUAAAAGCACAUGUGAUAGUUUAUAUAGUUUAAAAAACUCACUACGAGAAGAACAACACAAGAUAAUAAAUAACAUUGAAAAUCUAGAAUUAGAUAUACAUUAUAGCACAGAUAGGAUAAAUUAUUAUACAGAAAUUUAUAACUCUGCAAUUACUACAGGAUAAAAUAAUUGAUGAAUAUAUCUUACGAAA